Orbicella faveolata is the source of this 1276-nucleotide long non-coding RNA. The record is from RefSeq and is a predicted model, not a curated record. Lineage: Eukaryota; Metazoa; Cnidaria; Anthozoa; Scleractinia; Merulinidae.
UAAAGAAAGCGCUACCGCAACUUUACUGAUUAUCCCUGCUGUCUUCUCAUAUUAACAGCCAUAAAAUAUUUUUUUCAAAUAGUUUUGUCAGUCUUACAUGUGAACAUGUUUAACAACUAGAGAUAUCAACGGUAAGCGUUCAAUGUAUCAGUUUACACGAAAGUUCUUGCGGAAGUCCUGUGGGUCAUGUGUAUGCAUCGAGUGCGAUCUUAUUCAACCACAAUUAAUUUAUUGGAAUUUUACAAAAAUAGAACUAAGCUGUCUUUACAGACGUAAACUUACAUAGUUACUGUGCCUUGAUGAGACAUCACGCGUCGCUUGCAAUUCAUGAUCAGGUUAAACUCAAGACUUGCAAAAUUUUAUUACUUUUCCUCGGCCGCGAUUAUCUUGAGGCAAAAGAGGGAAACAAUGUAACUGAUCCUCAACAAAAUUUAGCAUGGAUUAAUUUGGAGCUUUUGCAAACGAAACGCGGGAACACUAUUAGUUCAUGAUAAACGCCACGUACAUGCAUGCAACACUGUCUUGUACAUGUAGGUCACUCUUAUUUAAGCAACUUAGGACGAAAAUAUUUUAACGAAAUUGCUAGAGACAUAAACAUAAACAUAUUGAGCAGUGGGCCUAAAAUGCAAAAGAAAUUGUGAAAAUAAAUCACUGGUGGCUUAAAAAUAAAUUAAUAAAAUUCGAUUUCCGGUUCGACGAGAGGAGAUUUUUGGUAGCAUUAAUUUCACCGGAAGUGCGGAAGGAGCGCUCGUGCCAGUUCUACUCCUCAACACACAUUGGACCAAGAGCGGAAUGUCCGUUUCACGGCCCGACCUUUUCCCGCCCUCUUAAGACAGUUGGACCCUGCUAUCCUUUCCAAUUUCUGUGGUUAACGUAGAUGAACAGUUACCGUAAAAAAUUUUAAUUUUUUUUAUUUUUUUAUUGUCUGCAUACCACAGGAUAUUGACUGGGAUCCUGUAGAUGGACAAUUUCUUGUGAGUGUUAGCAGUGAUCAGACAACCAGAUUACACGCUCCGUGGAAACAACACGGACGACAGCAGUCCUUGUGGUGUGAAAUAGCCCGUCCGCAGGUUCAUGGCUAUGACAUGCAGUGUUUGAGCAUGCUCAGUAGAUACAGACUGGUAUCUGGCGCCGAUGAAAAGGUCCUAAGAAUAUUCAAAGCACCUCGUCAGUUCAUGGAGACAUUUCAAGGACUUUGCAAAGUUAAGGAAAACGAUGAGGUGGCUGAUAGUUUGCCUGUAGGAGCGAGUGUACCUGCUCUUGGACUUUCAAACAA